GAGUUUGAUCGUGGCUCAGAGCGAACGCUGGCGGCAGGCUUAACACAUGCAAGUCGAGCGGGCGUAGCAAUACGUCAGCGGCAGACGGGUGAGUAACACGUGGGAACGUACCUUUUGGUUCGGAACAACUGAGGGAAACUUCAGCUAAUACCGGAUAAGCCCUAACGGGGAAAGAUUUAUCGCCGAAAGAUCGGCCCGCGUCUGAUUAGCUAGUUGGUGAGGUAAUGGCUCACCAAGGCGACGAUCAGUAGCUGGUCUGAGAGGAUGAUCAGCCACACUGGGACUGAGACACGGCCCAGACUCCUACGGGAGGCAGCAGUGGGGAAUAUUGGACAAUGGGGGCAACCCUGAUCCAGCCAUGCCGCGUGAGUGAUGAAGGCCCUAGGGUUGUAAAGCUCUUUUGUGCGGGAAGAUAAUGACGGUACCGCAAGAAUAAGCCCCGACUAACUUCGUGCCAGCCGCCGCGGUAAC
This 471-nucleotide ribosomal RNA is filed under the name uncultured microorganism. Its description in RNAcentral is "bacterial SSU rRNA". It matches the Rfam family "Bacterial small subunit ribosomal RNA", at positions 9 to 524 of the family's 1533-position model. The record is from RNAcentral.